RNAcentral lists this transfer RNA (98 nucleotides) under Coemansia sp. S146. RNAcentral's name for it is "tRNA-Thr". It matches the Rfam family "tRNA". Rfam says of the family: Transfer RNA (tRNA) molecules are approximately 80 nucleotides in length. Lineage: Eukaryota; Fungi; Kickxellomycota; Kickxellomycetes; Kickxellales; Kickxellaceae. The record is from RNAcentral.
GCCCCUUUGGCUAAGAGGCACAGCGUCUGUCUUGUAAGCGAUGCUUUAGCAUCUGUCUUGUAAACAGAAGAUCAUCGGUUCGAUUCCGAUAAUGGGCA